UGGGGUUUAGUUCAGUGGAAGAACACUUGCCUAGCCUGUAUGAGGCACUGGGUUCAAUUCUCAGCACCACAU
RNAcentral lists this transfer RNA (72 nucleotides) under Ictidomys tridecemlineatus (thirteen-lined ground squirrel). RNAcentral describes it as "Spermophilus tridecemlineatus (thirteen-lined ground squirrel) tRNA". It matches the Rfam family "tRNA". Rfam says of the family: Transfer RNA (tRNA) molecules are approximately 80 nucleotides in length. Their secondary structure includes four short double-helical elements and three loops (D, anti-codon, and T loops). Lineage: Eukaryota; Metazoa; Chordata; Mammalia; Rodentia; Sciuridae. The record is from Rfam by way of RNAcentral.